UUAAGUUAUUAAGGGCGCACGGUGGAUGCCUUGGCACUAGAAGCCGAUGAAGGACGUUACUAACGACGAUAUGCUUUGGGGAGCUGUAAGUAAGCUUUGAUCCAGAGAUUUCCGAAUGGGGAAACCCAGCAUGAGUUAUGUCAUGUUAUCGAUAUGUGAAUACAUAGCAUAUCAGAAGGCACACCCGGAGAACUGAAACAUCUUAGUACCCGGAGGAAGAGAAAGAAAAUUCGAUUCCCUUAGUAGCGGCGAGCGAAAUGGGAAGAGCCCAAACCAACAAGCUUGCUUGUUGGGGUUGUAGGACACUCUAUACGGAGUUACAAAGGACGACAUUAGACGAAUCAUCUGGAAAGAUGAAUCAAAGAAGGUAAUAAUCCUGUAGUCGAAAAUGUUGUCUCUCUUGAGUGGAUCCUGAGUACGACGGAGCACGUGAAAUUCCGUCGGAAUCUGGGAGGACCAUCUCCUAAGGCUAAAUACUCUCUAGUGACCGAUAGUGAACCAGUACCGUGAGGGAAAGGUGAAAAGCACCCCGGAAGGGGAGUGAAAUAGAACCUGAAACCGUGUGCUUACAAGUAGUCAGAGCCCGUUAAUGGGUGAUGGCGUGCCUUUUGUAGAAUGAACCGGCGAGUUACGAUUUGAUGCAAGGUUAAGCAGUAAAUGUGGAGCCGUAGCGAAAGCGAGUCUGAAUAGGGCGUUUAGUAUUUGGUCGUAGACCCGAAACCAGGUGAUCUACCCUUGGUCAGGUUGAAGUUCAGGUAACACUGAAUGGAGGACCGAACCGACUUACGUUGAAAAGUGAGCGGAUGAACUGAGGGUAGCGGAGAAAUUCCAAUCGAACCUGGAGAUAGCUGGUUCUCUCCGAAAUAGCUUUAGGGCUAGCCUCAAGUGAUGAUUAUUGGAGGUAGAGCACUGUUUGGACGAGGGGCCCCUCUCGGGUUACCGAAUUCAGACAAACUCCGAAUGCCAAUUAAUUUAACUUGGGAGUCAGAACAUGGGUGAUAAGGUCCGUGUUCGAAAGGGAAACAGCCCAGACCACCAGCUAAGGUCCCAAAAUAUAUGUUAAGUGGAAAAGGAUGUGGCGUUGCCCAGACAACUAGGAUGUUGGCUUAGAAGCAGCCAUCAUUUAAAGAGUGCGUAAUAGCUCACUAGUCGAGUGACACUGCGCCGAAAAUGUACCGGGGCUAAACAUAUUACCGAAGCUGUGGAUUGUCCUUUGGACAAUGGUAGGAGAGCGUUCUAAGGGCGUUGAAGCAUGAUCGUAAGGACAUGUGGAGCGCUUAGAAGUGAGAAUGCCGGUGUGAGUAGCGAAAGACGGGUGAGAAUCCCGUCCACCGAUUGACUAAGGUUUCCAGAGGAAGGCUCGUCCGCUCUGGGUUAGUCGGGUCCUAAGCUGAGGCCGACAGGCGUAGGCGAUGGAUAACAGGUUGAUAUUCCUGUACCACCUAUAAUCGUUUUAAUCGAUGGGGGGACGCAGUAGGAUAGGCGAAGCGUGCGAUUGGAUUGCACGUCUAAGCAGUAAGGCUGAGUAUUAGGCAAAUCCGGUACUCGUUAAGGCUGAGCUGUGAUGGGGAGAAGACAUUGUGUCUUCGAGUCGUUGAUUUCACACUGCCGAGAAAAGCCUCUAGAUAGAAAAUAGGUGCCCGUACCGCAAACCGACACAGGUAGUCAAGAUGAGAAUUCUAAGGUGAGCGAGCGAACUCUCGUUAAGGAACUCGGCAAAAUGACCCCGUAACUUCGGGAGAAGGGGUGCUCUUUAGGGUUAACGCCCAGAAGAGCCGCAGUGAAUAGGCCCAAGCGACUGUUUAUCAAAAACACAGGUCUCUGCUAAACCGUAAGGUGAUGUAUAGGGGCUGACGCCUGCCCGGUGCUGGAAGGUUAAGAGGAGUGGUUAGCUUCUGCGAAGCUACGAAUCGAAGCCCCAGUAAACGGCGGCCGUAACUAUAACGGUCCUAAGGUAGCGAAAUUCCUUGUCGGGUAAGUUCCGACCCGCACGAAAGGCGUAACGAUUUGGGCACUGUCUCAACGAGAGACUCGGUGAAAUCAUAGUACCUGUGAAGAUGCAGGUUACCCGCGACAGGACGGAAAGACCCCGUGGAGCUUUACUGUAGCCUGAUAUUGAAAUUCGGCACAGCUUGUACAGGAUAGGUAGGAGCCUUUGAAACGUGAGCGCUAGCUUACGUGGAGGCGCUGGUGGGAUACUACCCUAGCUGUGUUGGCUUUCUAACCCGCACCACUUAUCGUGGUGGGAGACAGUGUCAGGCGGGCAGUUUGACUGGGGCGGUCGCCUCCUAAAAGGUAACGGAGGCGCUCAAAGGUUCCCUCAGAAUGGUUGGAAAUCAUUCAUAGAGUGUAAAGGCAUAAGGGAGCUUGACUGCGAGACCUACAAGUCGAGCAGGGUCGAAAGACGGACUUAGUGAUCCGGUGGUUCCGCAUGGAAGGGCCAUCGCUCAACGGAUAAAAGCUACCCCGGGGAUAACAGGCUUAUCUCCCCCAAGAGUUCACAUCGACGGGGAGGUUUGGCACCUCGAUGUCGGCUCAUCGCAUCCUGGGGCUGUAGUCGGUCCCAAGGGUUGGGCUGUUCGCCCAUUAAAGCGGUACGCGAGCUGGGUUCAGAA
This 2615-nucleotide ribosomal RNA is filed under the name Staphylococcus aureus M0511. RNAcentral describes it as "bacterial LSU rRNA". It matches the Rfam family "Bacterial large subunit ribosomal RNA", at positions 3 to 2616 of the family's 2925-position model. Lineage: Bacteria; Bacillati; Bacillota; Bacilli; Caryophanales; Staphylococcaceae. The record is from RNAcentral.